This 498-nucleotide ribosomal RNA is filed under the name uncultured bacterium. RNAcentral's name for it is "partial 16S ribosomal RNA". It matches the Rfam family "Bacterial small subunit ribosomal RNA", at positions 30 to 523 of the family's 1533-position model. The record is from RNAcentral.
AUUGAACGCUGGCGGCAUGCCUUACACAUGCAAGUCGAACGGUAGCAGGUCUUCGGACGCUGACGAGUGGCGAGCGGGUGAGUAAUACAUCGGAACGUGCCCAGUCGUGGGGGAUAACUACUCGAAAGAGUAGCUAAUACCGCAUACGAUCUGAGGAUGAAAGCGGGGGACCUUCGGGCCUCGCGCGAUUGGAGCGGCCGAUGGCAGAUUAGGUAGUUGGUGGGAUAAAAGCUUACCAAGCCGACGAUCUGUAGCUGGUCUGAGAGGACGACCAGCCACACUGGGACUGAGACACGGCCCAGACUCCUACGGGAGGCAGCAGUGGGGAAUUUUGGACAAUGGGCGAAAGCCUGAUCCAGCAAUGCCGCGUGCAGGAUGAAGGCCUUCGGGUUGUAAACUGCUUUUGUACGGAACGAAAAAGUCUCCUCUAAUACAGGAGGCCCAUGACGGUACCGUAAGAAUAAGCACCGGCUAACUACGUGCCAGCCGCCGCCGUAA